UCCUAUCAUUUUGGGAGGCCAAGGCUGGUGGAUCACCUGAGGUUAUGAGUUUGAGACGAAUCUGGCCAACGUGGAGAAACCCUGUCUCUACUAAAAA
Long non-coding RNA from Sapajus apella (tufted capuchin), 97 nucleotides. RefSeq lists it as uncharacterized. The record is from RefSeq and is a predicted model, not a curated record. The transcript has 2 exons. Lineage: Eukaryota; Metazoa; Chordata; Mammalia; Primates; Cebidae.